UACAGAGGGUGCAAGCGUUGCUCGGAAUCACUGGGCGUAAAGCGCACGUAGGCGGAUCUUUAAGUCAGGGGUGAAAUCCCAAGGCUCAACCUUGGAACUGCCUUUGAUACUGGGGAUCUCGAGUCCGGAAGAGGUUGGUGGAACUGCGAGUGUAGAGGUGAAAUUCGUAGAUAUUCGCAAGAACACCAGUGGCGAAGGCGGCCAACUGGUCCGGUACUGACGCUGAGGUGCGAAAGCGUGGGGAGCAAACAGG
RNAcentral lists this ribosomal RNA (253 nucleotides) under uncultured bacterium. RNAcentral's name for it is "partial 16S ribosomal RNA". It matches the Rfam family "Bacterial small subunit ribosomal RNA", at positions 524 to 776 of the family's 1533-position model. The record is from RNAcentral.